Molecule: ribosomal RNA, 460 nt
Filed under: uncultured bacterium
Lineage: Bacteria
Description: partial 16S ribosomal RNA
Rfam family: Bacterial small subunit ribosomal RNA
Source: RNAcentral
CCUACGGGAGGCAGCAGUGAGGAAUAUUGGUCAAUGGACGAGAGUCUGAACCAGCCAAGUAGCGUGAAGGAUGACUGCCCUAUGGGUUGUAAACUUCUUUUAUAUGGGAAUAAAAUGUUCCACGUGUGGGAUUUUGUAUGUACCAUAUGAAUAAGGAUCGGCUAACUCCGUGCCAGCAGCCGCGGUAAUACGGAGGAUCCGAGCGUUAUCCGGAUUUAUUGGGUUUAAAGGGAGCGUAGGUGGAUUGUUAAGUCAGUUGUGAAAGUUUGCGGCUCAACCGUAAAAUUGCAGUUGAAACUGGCAGUCUUGAGUACAGUAGAGGUGGGCGGAAUUCGUGGUGUAGCGGUGAAAUGCUUAGAUAUCACGAAGAACUCCGAGUGCGAAGGCAGUUCACUGGACUGCAACUGACACUGAGGCUCGAAAGUGUGGGUAUCAAACAGGAUUAGAUACUCCUGUAGUC